UAGGGAAUCUUCCGCAAUGGACGCAAGUCUGACGGAGCAACGCCGCGUGAGUGAAGAAGGAUUUCGGUUCGUAAAACUCUGUUGUUAGAGAAGAACAGCGCAUAGAGUAACUGUUAUGCGUGUGACGGUAUCUAACCAGAAAGCCACGGCUAACUACGUGCCAGCAGCCGCGGUAAUACGUAGGUGGCAAGCGUUGUCCGGAUUUAUUGGGCGUAAAGCGAGCGCAGGCGGUCAAUUAAGUCUGAUGUGAAAGCCCCCGGCUCAACCGGGGAGGGUCAUUGGAAACUGGUUGGCUUGAGUGCAGAAGAGGAGAGUGGAAUUCCAUGUGUGGCGGUGAAAUGCGUAGAUAUAUGGAGGAACACCAGUGGCGAAGGCGACUCUCUGGUCUGUAACUGACGCUGAGGCUCGAAAGCGUGGGUAGCAAACAGG
RNAcentral lists this ribosomal RNA (429 nucleotides) under Bacteroidota bacterium. Its description in RNAcentral is "Bacteroidetes bacterium partial 16S ribosomal RNA". It matches the Rfam family "Bacterial small subunit ribosomal RNA", at positions 355 to 776 of the family's 1533-position model. Lineage: Bacteria; Pseudomonadati; Bacteroidota. The record is from RNAcentral.